GAUGAACGCUAGCGGCAGGCCUAAUACAUGCAAGUCGAGCGGCAAGUUGGGUAGUAAUACUUAACCUAGAGCGGCGCACGGGUGCGUAACGCGUAUGCAACCUACCUUUUACUGGGGGAUAGCCCGGAGAAAUCUGGAUUAAUACCCCAUGGUACCUAUUGGUCGAAUGACUGAUAGUUUAAAGAUUUAUCGGUAAGAGAUGGGCAUGCGUCUGAUUAGCUAGUUGGCGGGGUAACGGCCCACCAAGGCGACGAUCAGUAGGGGUUCUGAGAGGAAGGUCCCCCACACUGGCACUGAGAUACGGGCCAGACUCCUACGGGAGGCAGCAGUAGGGAAUAUUGGGCAAUGGUCGCAAGACUGACCCAGCCAUGCCGCGUGCAGGAAGACGGCCCUCUGGGUUGUAAACUGCUUUUAUCUGGGAAGAAAAAGUCCAUGCGUGGAAAAUUGCCGGUACCAGAUGAAUAAGCACCGGCUAACUCCGUG
This 483-nucleotide ribosomal RNA is filed under the name uncultured bacterium. RNAcentral describes it as "bacterial SSU rRNA". It matches the Rfam family "Bacterial small subunit ribosomal RNA", at positions 28 to 507 of the family's 1533-position model. The record is from RNAcentral.